AGCUUUUAAUUCUUUUAAUUUUGAAAGUUAAAUUUGGGUGUUCCUAAAAGCUU
This 53-nucleotide transfer RNA is filed under the name Scatoglyphus polytrematus. Its description in RNAcentral is "tRNA-Ser". Lineage: Eukaryota; Metazoa; Arthropoda; Arachnida; Sarcoptiformes; Acaridae. The record is from RNAcentral.